CCUCGGGAGGCAGCAGUAGGGAAUAUUGCUCAAUGGGGGAAACCCUGAAGCAGCAACGCCGCGUGGGUGAAGGAGUACUUCGGUACGUAAAGCCCUAUCAGCAGGAAAGAAAAUGACGGUACCUGACUAAGAAGCCCCGGCUAACUACGUGCCAGCAGCCGCGGUAAUACGAAGGGGGCAAGCGUUAUCCGGAUUUACUGGGUGUAAAGGGAGCGUAGACGGCAGUGCAAGUCCG
RNAcentral lists this ribosomal RNA (235 nucleotides) under uncultured bacterium. RNAcentral describes it as "partial 16S ribosomal RNA". It matches the Rfam family "Bacterial small subunit ribosomal RNA", at positions 339 to 591 of the family's 1533-position model. The record is from RNAcentral.